UUUCCGUAGGUGAACCUGCGGAAGGAUCAUUAACACUUUGUCGUUGUACUCCAACGACUAGCCAACUCGCGGACUUUAUUGUCUUUUUCUCAACUUUAUGUUGGGAAAAGCUGCUCCUGUCCUCACAAUUUUUGGGUAUACUAAUCUUUGUGGGUAAGUCAGGCUCCGGCAAACUUUUUUAUUCAUUAAACCCGUUUCACGAUGUUAAUACCCUGAUGUCCUUGCAAAGAAAAGUCUUGUACUUUUCAUAUUUGCAUAUGUUAAUGAAAAACAACUCUUAACAACGGAUAUCUUGGCUCUC
Molecule: unclassified non-coding RNA, 301 nt
Filed under: soil metagenome
Description: partial contains small subunit ribosomal RNA, internal transcribed spacer 1, and 5.8S ribosomal RNA
Source: RNAcentral